AUGUGCGACCAUACCAGCACCAGUGCACCGUAUCCCAUCAGAACUCUGCAGUUAAGCGUGCUCGGGCAAGAGUAGUACUGGGAUGGGUGGCCUCCUGAGAAUUCCUUGUGUUGCACCAC
Molecule: ribosomal RNA, 119 nt
Organism: Dendrobium catenatum
Lineage: Eukaryota; Viridiplantae; Streptophyta; Magnoliopsida; Asparagales; Orchidaceae
Source: RefSeq, a predicted model, not a curated record